UUUCCGUAGGUGAACCUGCGGAAGGAUCAUUAAAGAGAUCGUGCCCUCACGGGUAGACCUCCCACCCUUUGUUUACAAUACCUUUGUUGCUUUGGCGGGCCCGUUUGGCCCCGCGCUGAACAACCGGCCCCGGCUGGUCAGUGCCCGCCAGAGAACCGAAAACUCUGAAUUAAAUGUCGUCUGAGUACUAUGUAAUAGUUAAAACUUUCAACAACGGAUCUCUUGGUUCUG
Molecule: unclassified non-coding RNA, 231 nt
Filed under: plant metagenome
Description: partial contains small subunit ribosomal RNA, internal transcribed spacer 1, and 5.8S ribosomal RNA
Source: RNAcentral